UGCGAGAGAACUUUACCAGAGAUGGAUUGGUGCCUUCGGGAACGUCUGACACAGGUUGCUGCAUGGCUGUCGUCAGCUCGUGUCGUGAGAGUGUUCGGGUUAAGUCCCGUAACGAGCGCAACCCUUGUCCUUAGUUACCAGCACGUUAUGGUGGGCACUCUAAGGAGACUGCCGGUGACAAACCGGAGGAAGGUGGGGAGUGACGUCAAGUCAUCAUGGCCCUUACGGCCUGGGCUACACACGUGCUACAAUGGUCGGUACAAAGGGUUGCCAAGCCGCGAGGUGGAGCUAAUCCCAUAAAACCGAUCGUAGUCCGGAUCGCAGUCUGCAACUCGACUGCGUGAAGUCGGAAUCGCUAGUAAUCGUGAAUCAGAAUGUCACGGUGAAUACGUUCCCGGGCCUU
RNAcentral lists this ribosomal RNA (403 nucleotides) under uncultured Pseudomonas sp. RNAcentral describes it as "bacterial SSU rRNA". It matches the Rfam family "Bacterial small subunit ribosomal RNA", at positions 987 to 1382 of the family's 1533-position model. Lineage: Bacteria; Pseudomonadati; Pseudomonadota; Gammaproteobacteria; Pseudomonadales; Pseudomonadaceae. The record is from RNAcentral.